GAGAAUGAUGGAUAUUGGGAAAUGGAUAUGGAAAUCAUGCUAGCAUCUUCCGUUGUGCUCGUUUAUUUUCAGGUUGUUGAUUCUUCUUCCCGGCGAUAAGCAAACAGAUGGAUCCUGUCCGAGGCUUCAACAUGAAGUAACCCCUCACCAACAUACGCUUGCUCACUGUGUCCUCAGUUACGGCACGCCAGCUUCUUGGUCAUGACGGCCACCAGCAUGGCGGUACAGGCCACACCCUAUGGACAAACACAAAGACAGCCACACCAACGUCACCAUGGUUACCACCAUCGCCAUUUGACAUCCUCCUCGUGUCCCCUUGUGACCCGUAAGAGCGGGAGUCAGUCGGAAUUCACAAAAUGAUCAUGUCAACAUUCAAAAUCAGCCCUAUAGCUUCAGGUUUGUUUGGCCAACAUCAAGAUAGACAUCGCAAUUUAUUUUCAAGAAGUUAUGACAUAGUUGUGACUUGCUAUAACUUGUACAAAUAUGGUGGGCCUAUUAUGCCUAUUUCGCCUAAUAAUACCAGUUACACUGAAUUGACCUUAUGUUUAUGUGAGAGUGAAAUGGUUAAUCAUAUGCCACUGUGCCACUGAUAUAGUAGGAUGGUUUACUCUGAGAAUAGUAAACCAUAAGGUCAACAUUGUGCUAUUGCUGGAUAGGGAACAACUAAAUGCUGACGUAUGCUCAGGAACCCCACAGAGUGAAUAUGUCAUGUUCUAACCAUAGUUCUUUUGUGUUUUCUUUGUUUUAGUGUUGGUCAGGACGUGAGCUGAGUGGGCAUUCUAUGUUGUGUGUCUAGUUUUCCCAUUUCUAUGUUUGGCCUGAUAUGGUUCUCAAUCAGAGGCAGGUGUUAGUCAUUGUCUCUGAUUGGGAACCAUAUUUAGGUAGCCUGUUUUGUGUUGGGUUUUGUGGGUGGUUGUUUCUUGUCUUCUGUCUUUGUGUCUAUGCACCAGAUAGGACUGUUUUGGUUUUUCACAUUUGUUGUUUUGGGUUUUUGUAGUGUUCACGUUUAUGGUCUUUAUUAAACAUGUUGAACUCUAA
This is a long non-coding RNA of Oncorhynchus nerka (sockeye salmon), 1038 nucleotides long. RefSeq lists it as uncharacterized. The transcript is spliced from 2 exons. Lineage: Eukaryota; Metazoa; Chordata; Actinopteri; Salmoniformes; Salmonidae. The record is from RefSeq and is a predicted model, not a curated record.